CCCACGCGGCGCAGCUCCCAAAGUUGCAGACAGCCCGGCGAACCGCGCAAUGCGCUUCUUCUGCCUGCAGCAGAGAAAAGGAAAGAAAACUCCGCAGGGGCUCCGUUGGCUUCUCCACGAGUGACAACCAUGUUUUCCCAGAUAGAAGACCGGAGCCCUGCUCCUUUGCGAUCCGCCGAGGGCUGCAGAGAGCAUCCUCAUCCAUUUGGGCACCCCUGCCCAGGAAGAGCCCGGCCAUCCCUUUCCGGACUGGAUCCUUAAGAGGUGAAUUUUCUUCCGUGGAUUCCGAUUUGCUCCGUCUGACCAGCCUAGGCAAUCCAGCAUCGCGUGGUACCAGUGCCGCUGGGCACACUGGCUUCACGCCGGCUCCGCCUCACCAGCAAGCGCAUUCCCAGAUAAAACACUAACUCAGAGAAGAAAUUUAACUGCAAAUUUGGUUAAUGACCAUGGAUUCCUAAUGAGAAGAAAAGCUAGACACUGAGAGUUUAGAAUAAACUCAAGAAUCUUAAAAAUUUUCCCAUGGAACUGCCUUUGCACCUCUAUAAAAAAUUAAUUGACCAUAUGCUUAUUUCACCAACUAGAACUUCCAAUAAAACAUUGAAUAGAAGUGAUGAGAGUGGAUAUAUUUGCCUUGUUCCUGAUUUUAGAUGAUAAACAUUUUGUCUUUCACUUUAGAUAUGAUGUUAGUUCUAGGGGCUUUUUGAAGAUGAGCAUUAUUAUGUUGCAAAGGUUCCAUCCUCCUUCUAGUUUGUGAGGAAAUUUUUAUCUUAAAUGGACAUUGAAUUUUAUCAAAUGCCUUCCCUGCGUCUAUUGAUAUGACCACAUGGUUUUUCUUAAGUCUAUUAGUAUGGUGAAUUACACUGAAGAUUUUUGAAUGGUGAACCAGACUUGCAUUCCCCCAAAUAAACUCUACUUACUUAUGAUGUAUGGUUGUUGAGGGUUUUUUAAUAUUAUUCUUUUAUAUUGGUUCUCCUCUAUGUUUUUAUGUGUUUAAUUUAUUUGAUGUCUGCUCUCAUUUUAUUAUUUUCUUCCUUCUGUUUGCUUUUGCGGUGGUCUGCACUUAUUUUCUAGUUUAUUAAUGUGAAGGUUUUUCUUCUUGAUUUAUAUUUUUGUUUUCCAGUGUAAGGAUUUUAGUGCUAUAAAUUUCCCUCUAAGGACUGCUUUAACUGCAUCCCAUGAAUUUUAGUAUGUUAUAUUUUUACUUUCAAAAUACAUUCUGAUUUUCUUUGAGAUUUUCUUUUUGACCCAUAUAAUCUGUAAAACCAUGUCAUUUAAUUUCCUGGAUCCAAUUUUUUAUUACAUUAUUAUUUUAUUGAGGAUUUUUUAGUAUGCUUUUGUGAGAGAUAUUGGUCUACAAUUUUCCAUUCUUGUACUAUCUUUGUCUGGUUUUGGCGUCAGAGCAAUGCUGGCUACAUAAAAUACAUUAAGAAAUAGUUCUAUUUUGUGAAAGAAAUUGUACAAAAUUGGCAUUAUUUCUUCCAGAAAUGUUUGGGAUUUCAUCAAUAAAAUCAUCUGGGCCUGGAGGGUUUUUUUGGGACCAUUUUUAACUAUGAAUUCAAUUUUAAAAUAGAUAUGGGACUCUUGAGUUCUUGAUUUCUUUUUCUUUAAAUCUUUCAAGAAAUCAGUCCAUUUUAUCUAAGUUGUCAAAUGCAUGUGCAUGGAGUUGUUCAUAGUAAUCUCUUAUUAUGCUUUUAAUGUCUGUGGGGUCUAUAGUAAUAUCUCUUCUCUCAUAACUAAUAUUAGUAUUUUGUGUCUUCUCUCUCUUUUUUUUUUUUUUUUUUUUUUUUUUGAGACAGAGUCUUACUCUGUUGCCCAGGCUGGAGUGCAGUGGUGCAAUCUCGGCUCACUGCAACCUCCACCUCCCAGGUUCAAGCAAUUCUCCUGCCUCAGCCUCUCAGGUAACUGGGAUUACAGACGUACACCACCAUGCCCAGCUAAUUUUUGUAUUUUUAGUAGAGAUGGGGUUUCACCAUGUUGGCCAGGCUGGUUUCGAACUCCUGACCUCAGGUGAUUCACCUGCCUUGGCCUCCCAAAAUGCUGGGAUUACAGGCAUGAGCCUGGCCUUGUGUCUUCUCUUUUUUGUUCUUCAUCAGUCUUCUUAAAAAUUUAUCAGUUUAUUUGUCUUUCCAAGGUAUUAUUUAUUGUUUCUCCUCUAUUGUUGUUAUGUGUUCAAUUUAUUUGAUGUCCACUGUCAUUUUUAUUAUUUUCUUCCUUCUGCUUGCUUUUGGUGUAGUUUGCACUUAUUUUCUAGUUUAUUAAUAUGAAAGCUAACCUUAUUGAUUUAUCUUUUUUUUUCAGUAUAAGGCUUUUAGUGCUAUAAAUUUCUCUCUGAGGACUGUUUUAACUGCAUUCCACAAAUUUUAGUAUAUUUUUAUUUUCAAAAUACUUUCUGAUUUUCUUUGAGACUUCCUCUUUGACUCAUGUAAUCUUUAGGACUAUGCCAUUUAAUUUACAAAGAUAUAGAGUUUUUUUCAGGUAACUUUCUUAUGUUGAUUUUUUGAUCAAUUUAUGGUCAUAGACUAUGGUUUGUAUGAUUUCAUUUAUUUUAAUUUAAUAAAUUUUUGGUGACUCAAAACAUGGACUAUCUUGGUGUAUAUUUCAUGUGCACUUAAAAAUAUGUAUUCUGUUGUUGAUUAAAGUGUUCCAUAAUGAUAAUUAGAUUAAAGUCUUGGUAGUGUUGUUCCAGUCUUUUAUAUCCUUGGUGAUUUUCUACAUACUUUUUAAAUAAUUACUGAAAGAGGAAGGUUAAAGUCUAUAAUUGUGGAUUUGUCUAUGUCUCUUUUCAGUUCUGUUACUGCCUGUAUUAGGUAAAACAGAGCUUUUAAAGUUGUUAUUAAAUGCAUACACAAUUAAGAUAGUAAUGUCUCAUUGAUGAAUUGAGCCUUAUAUCAUUGUUUAAAGUGCUUCUUUCUUCCUGGUAGUUUUCCAUGUUCUGAAGCCUAUUCUGUCUGAUAUUAAUAUAAGCACUCCAGCUUUUUGUAUUAGUGUUUGCAUGGUAUGUCAUUUUUCAGGCUUUUGCUUUUAACCUAUCUAUAUCAUUAUAUUUCAAGUGGUGUUUUUGUAGACAGCAUAUAGUUAUGUCCUGGUUUUAUCAUCAAUGUGACAAUCCCUGUUUUUAAUACAAAAACUUUUACAUUUAAUGUAAUUAUUUAUAUGGCUGGAUUUAGGUCUAUAUAUUAUUAUUAGUUGUUUAAUAGCCCUUCUUUUUUCUUUUAUUCUUCUGGUUCCCUUUUUGCCCUUUUUUCUUUUCUCUUGGAUUACAUGAAUUUUUUUAUCUGUUGGUGUUUUACUAUACCUCUUCAUACACACACACACACACACACACACACACACACACACACACACGAAUAGUUAUUCUAGGCAUUAUAGUAUACAUACUUACCUUCUUUUGAAUUAUUACCUAAAAUGUAAACUGAGAGUCAAUAUUUUACCCUUUCAGACAAACUAUUGAAACUUUACAAUCCAUAACUACUUUUACCUCCCCCAUAUUGUAGUUGUGACAUAUAUUACAUCUAAUGCAUAGAAAAAAUUGCAUAGAAAAUU
Molecule: long non-coding RNA, 3543 nt
Filed under: Homo sapiens (human)
Lineage: Eukaryota; Metazoa; Chordata; Mammalia; Primates; Hominidae
Description: HSALNT0313498
Source: RNAcentral